GGGUCCGUAGCUCAGCAAGGUUAGAGCGGUGGCCUCUUAAGCCAUUGGCCGAGGGUUCGAAUCCCUCCGGACCCGCCA
RNAcentral lists this transfer RNA (78 nucleotides) under archaeon. Its description in RNAcentral is "tRNA-Lys". It matches the Rfam family "tRNA". Rfam says of the family: Transfer RNA (tRNA) molecules are approximately 80 nucleotides in length. Their secondary structure includes four short double-helical elements and three loops (D, anti-codon, and T loops). RNAcentral also lists the same sequence under 4 other names. The record is from RNAcentral.